GGCACUGUGGCUUAGUUGGUUAAAGCGCCUGUCUAGUAAACAGGAGAUCCUGGGUUCGAAUCCCAGCAGAGCCU
RNAcentral lists this transfer RNA (74 nucleotides) under Gadus morhua (Atlantic cod). RNAcentral describes it as "tRNA-Thr (AGT) (tRNA-Thr-AGT-1-1)". It matches the Rfam family "tRNA". Rfam says of the family: Transfer RNA (tRNA) molecules are approximately 80 nucleotides in length. Their secondary structure includes four short double-helical elements and three loops (D, anti-codon, and T loops). Further hydrogen bonds mediate the characteristic L-shaped molecular structure. tRNAs have two regions of fundamental functional importance: the anti-codon, which is responsible for specific mRNA codon recognition, and the 3' end, to which the tRNAs corresponding amino acid is attached (by aminoacyl-tRNA synthetases). tRNAs cope with the degeneracy of the genetic code in two manners: having more than one tRNA (with a specific anti-codon) for a particular amino acid; and 'wobble' base-pairing, i.e. permitting non-standard base-pairing at the 3rd anti-codon position. The record is from RNAcentral. Lineage: Eukaryota; Metazoa; Chordata; Actinopteri; Gadiformes; Gadidae.